AAGCCAGUCAGUGGAUCCGCUUACCUGAUCAUGUUUUUGUAGAAAUUUUGAACAAGCUGGUAAUAGUAAAUCUAUGUUAUGAACCUUAAUGACAGUGGGGUCAUUAAUGUGCCUGAAAGUGGCUAUACGA
Erinaceus europaeus (western European hedgehog) is the source of this 130-nucleotide non-coding RNA. Lineage: Eukaryota; Metazoa; Chordata; Mammalia; Eulipotyphla; Erinaceidae. The record is from Rfam.